This 655-nucleotide ribosomal RNA is filed under the name uncultured bacterium. RNAcentral describes it as "bacterial SSU rRNA". It matches the Rfam family "Bacterial small subunit ribosomal RNA", at positions 8 to 665 of the family's 1533-position model. The record is from RNAcentral.
AGAGUUUGAUCCUGGCUCAGAACGAACGCUGGCGGUAUGCCUAACACAUGCAAGUCGAACGCGAACGGAAUCUUCGGAUUCCAAGUAGAGUGGCGCACGGGUGAGUAACACGUGGAUAACCUGCCCUAGAGUCUGGGAUAACACUUCGAAAGGGGUGCUAAUACCGGAUAAGCCCACACAACCUUCGGGGCGAGUGGGAAAAGAUUUAUUGCUCUAGGAUGGGUCCGCGGUCCAUUAGCUAGUUGGUGGGGUAAUGGCCUACCAAGGCUGCGAUGGAUAGCUGGUCUGAGAGGAUGAUCAGCCACACUGGAACUGAGACACGGUCCAGACUCCUACGGGAGGCAGCAGUGGGGAAUUUUGCGCAAUGGGGGAAACCCUGACGCAGCAAUACCGCGUGAAGGAUGAAGGCCCUUGGGUCGUAAACUUCUGUCAGAGGGGAAGAAAUACUCGCAAGAGUGAUGACGGUACCCUCAAAGGAAGCACCGGCUAACUCCGUGCCAGCAGCCGCGGUAAUACGGAGGGUGCAAGCGUUGUUCGGAAUUAUUGGGCGUAAAGAGCAUGUAGGCGGUUUGUUAAGUCUGGUGUGAAAGCCCGGGGCUCAACCCCGGAAGUGCAUUGGAUACUGGCAGACUUGAGUAUGGGAGAGGAAAGUGGA